AGCAGUGUGGCUCAGUGGAAAGAGCACAGGCUUCGGAGUCAGAGGUCAUGGGUUCAAAUCCCCACUCUGCCA
RNAcentral lists this transfer RNA (72 nucleotides) under Ornithorhynchus anatinus (platypus). It matches the Rfam family "tRNA". From Rfam's summary of the family: Transfer RNA (tRNA) molecules are approximately 80 nucleotides in length. Their secondary structure includes four short double-helical elements and three loops (D, anti-codon, and T loops). Further hydrogen bonds mediate the characteristic L-shaped molecular structure. tRNAs have two regions of fundamental functional importance: the anti-codon, which is responsible for specific mRNA codon recognition, and the 3' end, to which the tRNAs corresponding amino acid is attached (by aminoacyl-tRNA synthetases). tRNAs cope with the degeneracy of the genetic code in two manners: having more than one tRNA (with a specific anti-codon) for a particular amino acid; and 'wobble' base-pairing, i.e. permitting non-standard base-pairing at the 3rd anti-codon position. The record is from Rfam by way of RNAcentral. Lineage: Eukaryota; Metazoa; Chordata; Mammalia; Monotremata; Ornithorhynchidae.